CGUUAGUUGCCAGCGGGUAAAGCCGGGAACUCUAGCGAAACUGCCGGUGUAAACCGAGAGGAAGGUGGGAUGACGUCAAAUCAGCACGGCCCUUAUGUCCAGGGCUACACACGUGUUACAAUGGCCGGUACAGAGGGCAGCUACCUGGAGACAGGAUGCGAAUCUCGAAAGCCGGUCUCAGUUCGGAUCGGAGUCUGCAACUCGACUCCGUGAAGCUGGAUUCGCUAGUAAUCGCGCAUCAGCCAUGGCCGCGGUCGAAUACGUUCCGGCCUU
This 273-nucleotide ribosomal RNA is filed under the name uncultured Sphingobacteriales bacterium. RNAcentral describes it as "partial 16S ribosomal RNA". It matches the Rfam family "Bacterial small subunit ribosomal RNA", at positions 1109 to 1374 of the family's 1533-position model. Lineage: Bacteria; Pseudomonadati; Bacteroidota; Sphingobacteriia; Sphingobacteriales. The record is from RNAcentral.